UCCAACACUAAACAAAAAAUGAAAACCAAUAAACCUAGGCAGUGACUCAUUAUAAAUGUAAAAUGUUAGAGCCUAAAGCUGGGUUUUUUUCAUGUGCCUGGGUGGAGAAGGGUGAGGUGCCCUCUGAGGAUGAUUUUAUCUUUGACUUUUGAGUCUGAAGAUCUUGGAUGUGGUUUGGCAAGUUCAUAAACAUAUUUGUGAUAAAGUUGAACUGCUGUCUGGAAAUGUUACAUACAGAGAUGUAAGAAAGCUUAAGGAGAAAACAGCAAAUGCUGAAAGAAGAAUCAGCAGUGUUCAGGAAUGAGGUUAGAAACUGCGGACAAUUAGCUACUAGAUGACUCCUACUAAAUAAAUCAUCAAAGACUUGACGACUGCUUCCAGGUUUCCACAACAAUAUUAGCUCAUUGAAGCAGCCAGAAAGAUGGUAAUUUGGCCAAAGUUUUAGGAAUUUGCUAUUCUUGUUUGAAUUAACCAGCAAGGCUGAUGUAUACUCUGUUGCCAAGCCUAUAAAGCAGGGCCUUCAUGCUUCCAGGGAAGAUACUGUAUUUAUUGAGCAGGAUCAAGGGCCCCAUGACAUGGAAAAUAAGCUUCUUUGUGUUAAAUAAGAGCUGCAUGGGAAACAAAAACAACCUGAGCUUGUCAUGGAAUCUCACAUCUUAUUUCAGCACUCAAUAAAGCACUUUGCUUGUCCAGUUUAAUAGAGAAGCACAAUUUCUUCUUCCUGUAUGCCUCCACAAAUCAGAGCUAGCUCUGAUCUCAUUUAGAGCUUAAUCCAAGAUCCAAAGUAAAAGGAAAAUACUGCUGUUGCUUCCAACAGGCAUCUGGUCAGUCUUGUACCAUAGUUUUACUUAAGUGUAAAUUGAGUGCUGAGUUUCUUCCAAGAAAAAGAGGGGUAAGUGGUAAGAAAUGGGAGUCUGAAUGCUCAACUUUCCACUGUUACUGCUGAUAGGACCUAUCCUUUGGCUUGGCAAAAACUUGUCAAUUUGUCUGCCCUUUCUGCAGGGCCAACUGGUACAAAAAAGUGCUCACCUUGACCUUCUUUAUUGCUACAUCUGGGCAGCUCACCACAGUUGGAGUCUCUUUUACUGCUUGAGAUUUACUUGUGUCCCUGGUGUGUUGUGAUAAGCCUCUGAAUGUCACUGCUGUGAUGGUUUUGUUCCUCCCAAAGACUAUCCAGAGGUUCAGUGAAGACAAGUAGGUUUUGCUUUGGUUGAAAAGUAGAUUGUAUUGUGUCACUGUGAUAAAUGGCAAUAUGAAAAGUGUUGGUUGAAUUUAACAGGAAAUUGGAAUGUUUCACUUGUCACAAGGCAAGUUUAUAACGUGGACUUCUGACAUUGCUCAUAGUAGGGGAACCUCACCCCACGUUGAGGGCGAGCUCAAGGCCUAGUUAUCGUGCAAAUGCAAUUUCAGCUAUCUUCAGACUAAGACUUAAGUGGUGCAUAAGCCGCACACACUCUCUCUGCGCAGGAGUGUAAUAAAAAGGAACCUGAUUUGGAAAACACUAGGGAGAAAUACUGAAGUUUUACACACCAAAAAGGCUAUUUAGAAAUGCUUUUCUUUUAUACCAUGUAAGCCAAGCAUAUUGACAUUAAUUAUAUAAGAUACUUAGGGUUUGGAAUAAACUGCUGAAGAGCACAAGAUGUAUACCAAAUCCUAUGCAAAUGAGUGUGUGCAACUGUUUUCGGGUAACACGUUUAUUUAUAACAAUAAGCUGUAUGUAUGGGUUUCUUUUUAGUGGGUAGAACAUCAUAAAAGGUCUCCCUCUAUCUCUCGAUCGCUCUUACUCAGUGUAGUGAGAUAGUUACAUCUGUUCAGCACAGCCCAGUAUGCAUUCCAGGAGCUGAGAACAGGUUCUUUCCAUACUUGAGUUAGUAGUACUCUUGUCAGCUUUCCUGGAAUUGCAUCAUGGUAACUAGGAGCAGAAUUCAUUCUCCUCUGGUGGUAAAUUUCCUUUGGUUUCAGAAAACCUGAUGGAAUUCAUAACUGCAUUUGUAUUUUUCACUCUGUGUCCCUGAGCUCAGAGGUGCUUAAAGGAAAUGCUGUGACUGAUUUGCUAUGUUGCCCAUUAGUGUUAUCAGUAGAGACUCUUAAUAACAUUGGAAGAAAACUUCAUCUAUCCCUUCUUGUACCCUGGCUGCCUGCAAAGAAAUUCUCUUCCUUUUGAUAAGUUUACUUCAUGGUGGAAGAGUCCUCCUACAUCAGGGCCAUGACAGGCAGGCUCAGCAGGCAAUCACCUCCACUUCAAAUGCUUCUGUACCUGUCCCCUAUUCCCUGCUCCUUCCAUCUUAGGCACUGGCCUACACGUGAAAAUACUUCACUUUCCAGGACAAGUUUCUUUACUGAACCAGCCAAAUAAUUAUCUAAGGAUACUCCUUAACAUUAGCGGAGAUGUCUAGCUUAUGUUGGAGCUGCUCUGUGGUCAUUGUAGAGUGUCACCUGGCUGAGCUGUGCUGGAACUGGCAAGCUUCCUAGAACCUGCUCUACAUUCUCCAAACCAUCCCACAAAUGCCAAGGCUGAGCACUUUUGCUCUUAGAAACACCCAUCUGCAGGGGAAGAUGUUGAUAGUGAAUAGUUAUUCCCUCUCAUCACCAGCAGAGAAUGUUAAUGUUGCUAAAGCUGGUUCAGGUUCCUUGAAUUCUCCCAAUUUACCUAAUAAUCCUCUUACCAUUUCACAGUUGUUUUCAGAUCUACUGUGUUUGCACAAGUUCCAGAAAGCUCAUGGUAAACCAGCUGCUUUUACCUCUCAGAUUCAAGCCCAUUAAAGGAUUUGACGAAAGCUAUUCAGUGCUGUGGGCAAAGAAGAACAAACGUGAUCCAUUUAGUAACUAAAAAGCAUCACACUCCAAGUGUGAAACUUGCAUGAAGGAGAUGAGAAUUAAGCCCAGAGGGAACAGAGGAGCUGCAAUGCAGGAACCAGUCCUCCCUGUGAAACAUUUAAGUGAGGGAGAAGAGCUUUCAGAGCUAUCUAAGAGUUAACUGGCUACAUUUCAACUGUCACCAUUGUCUUACAUCUACAUAGAGAUGGGAGGAGAGCCAGAGAGGUGUAAGUACAGAAGGCCACUGGGAAGAAAACAUUUGUAAGUAGAAAUUUCUGCUCAGAAGCCUCAGAGCAGAUCUUCACAGUUUGUCUUGAUUUUCUCUUUCCCUAUUUUUUAAACACAAUGUGCAGUGAAAAUGAUUGUUAGUAUCCAAAGGACCUUACUUGCUGGCUCGCUGCAUCUCUGUUUAUGAAAUGCCAUAACAAAAGUGAGCUCACGCUUGUGUGCUUCCAAUGCGUGAUGUUCCUGUGUGCCAGAUGGGCACUUUCAUGACUGUAUGAGCGUGGAUUAUUUCAUUUCCUACAUCUGGGACUCCAAAUGGCUGCACAGAAUGCCACAGGAGAGAGGCACAGAUCUUCAGCUGGGAAAGCCUACCUUCACAGGGGAACCAGCUACAUCAGAGGGGAUGGGGCAGAGAAGCCCCAAGUGGUAUCUGAAAGUUCACAUAAACCAGGGCCACAAGGGAAACCUUUAGAACCAGGAACAAGACAAAAAUAAACAAUAACUAAUGCUGGAUGUCAGCUGUGGAGAGGGGGGAGGGAAAAUAAACCAUAAGCAGUUUCUUGUCUUGCCACAGAAGAUGUGUUUGGAAUGCUGUUUUGUAUUUCAGCUCAGAAACUCUGCUGUGACCUUCAGAUAUCGCUGGGUGUUACAAAUUCUACAGAUAGCCAGAGAGAAAUAUCCCAAGGAGAACUGGCAUAUACCAUGCCAUACUAGUUAAUGUUGACUGUGUAUUGCUCACAGCCCAUUCCAGAACUGCAACCAGGCAGCCUUAUAAACACUGCAGAAUCCUACAGUAAUAGGAAUGCUACAGUUUGUCAUAAAGCUAUUGCGGGAUUUGGGAUAAUUACUUGUUUGUUUGUAGGAUAAAAGGGUGCUUUGCUUUUUUUUUAAGCCCAAAAUAGUCAGAGGAGAUCCACAAUAUAGUGAGGUCCUGGCUUACUAUGCUUUUGCAGUAUAUGUUGCAUUUCAGAGCCAGCAAACAGGAGGACAUAGUAAGAAGAGGCAGAAUAGCCUGUCCUGUAUGUUUGAUUGAAUUAGCUGUAGCAGAAAAAUAUAUAGUUAAGCCAAUGGCUUUCUUAAGAUGAAAGAGAGCAGUCCCCCAAAAGAGAACAACUGGAAAAAAGUAAUGAACAAAAGAAAGUAAGAGCCUGUGACACAAAGUAAGAAAAAUAAACAGCAGUUGACUUAACUAUUUUGCAUAAGAUAUUUACAAACCACAGCAUAUUACUGUUUGCUUUAUGCAUUUUCACAUCCUGCUCAGUUUAAAGCAGUAAUUUUCUGCAAGGACAACAGAGGGGAAAAAAAAUGCUUUACACUGCUUAUAUUAAUUACAUUUUUUCAUUACCCAUCAUGUUUUCUACAGGCUUGUGUAUUAUUACUGUAAAAUGUAAUGAAACAGAGAAGGAAAAAAGAAUGGACUUCUGGGAAAUUUUCCAAUUCUUGAAAUGCAAUGUUAAUUGAGUGCUAUUUUUAGGUCAUCACAGACAGAGCUGAACCUAUUGCCAUCAGUGCACAGAAUGGGGACAGCCCAGGUGCAACACAGACUGGUGAGGAUCUCAGUUUCUACUGAUGGAGGAAAAAGGAGAGAAAGUAACUCCCUAGAUUGGCAAUUCUGGUUGGGGUAGUUUCUAUUUCUCGAUGUAAAGUCCUCAAAGCAGAAAUGAAAGGGAAGGGUGCAGAGCUGGCAUGGGUGCAGGACCUACUGUGACCACCGGCAAUCCUGAAGGAGCCUCAGUGACUCCUGUGACAGGAGGGCAGACCAAAUGAAAACAAGAGGGUCUCUCUGGUGUGGUGGCUGACUUCCAGCUCUAGG
This is a long non-coding RNA of Neopsephotus bourkii (Bourke's parrot), 4855 nucleotides long. RefSeq lists it as uncharacterized. The record is from RefSeq and is a predicted model, not a curated record. The transcript is spliced from 3 exons. NCBI's taxonomy places the organism in Eukaryota, Metazoa, Chordata, Aves, Psittaciformes, Psittacidae.